Molecule: long non-coding RNA, 209 nt
Filed under: Mytilus galloprovincialis (Mediterranean mussel)
Lineage: Eukaryota; Metazoa; Mollusca; Bivalvia; Mytilida; Mytilidae
Source: RNAcentral
UCUUCUAUUGAUGAACAGAUACUCCUUUAUAUUCAGAAAAAAAGUAUUUUUUCCACAAAUUAUAGGUGAACAAUAUGUUGUAAAGCUUCUAAUGGUAACGCUGCAUCAUCUGUGAGCAAGCCUAAUACUCAAUUCGAGUUUGUUAAUUUUAUAACUCAUUGCUAAAGAACUAAUUUAUUGGAUUCCUUUAAACUUGCUGUUGUAAGUAG